GUGCCACUCUUAACGGGGUGGCUUUUCUGGAGUGUAAAAAGCUCCUGGAAUAAGGGCUGGGCAAGACCGGUGCCAGCCGCCGCGGUAA
Molecule: ribosomal RNA, 88 nt
Filed under: uncultured euryarchaeote
Lineage: Archaea; Methanobacteriati; Methanobacteriota
Description: partial 16S ribosomal RNA
Rfam family: Archaeal small subunit ribosomal RNA
Source: RNAcentral